UACGGAGGUGGCAAGCGUUACUCGGAAUUAUUGGGUGUAAAGGGCAAGUAGGCGGUCUAAUAAGUGGGUGGUGAAAUACUCCGGCUCAAUCGGAGAACUGCCAUCCAAACUGUUAGACUUGAGUAUACCAGAGGAAAAGGGAAUUCUAGGUGUAAGGGUGAAAUCUGUAGAUAUCUAGAAGAACACCAGCGGCGAAGGCGCUUUUCUGGGGUAUUACUGACGCUAAAUUGCGAAAGCUAGGGGAGCAAACAGA
This 253-nucleotide ribosomal RNA is filed under the name uncultured bacterium. RNAcentral describes it as "partial 16S ribosomal RNA". It matches the Rfam family "Bacterial small subunit ribosomal RNA", at positions 524 to 776 of the family's 1533-position model. The record is from RNAcentral.